Molecule: long non-coding RNA, 573 nt
Filed under: Mytilus galloprovincialis (Mediterranean mussel)
Lineage: Eukaryota; Metazoa; Mollusca; Bivalvia; Mytilida; Mytilidae
Source: RNAcentral
UUUGGCCCUUUAUUUUUUAACUUUUUUUGAUUCGAGCGUCAUUGAUGAGUCGUUUGUAGACGAAACACGCGUCGGCAUAUGUAUAAAAUUUAGUCCUGGUAUCUGUGAUGAGUUUUUUUUCAUAAUGUGUUCUAUAAUCAUGAUAAUUAAUAGCAUGAAAAAGUAUUUGCAGCAUCUAAACAUGAUGACCAAAUCUUUCAACCAAAUAUGAAAAGUACCAGUCAGAGCAUCUUGAAGGAAUGUGUUCACAUAAAAUUAAGUUCAGAAUUCUUUAAAAAAAAAUGUGCCCUUACUAAUUGAUCAUCUGACAAUUAUAUUGUAUCACCAUAUAUAAUCAGGGUUUUCCCUAAGUCAAUUAUUUUUUUUGCCACCUCUUUCGCCAAAACAAUAUAUUUUUCGCCACUUUAUUAUUUUUUUCGACAAGUAACAUAAAUAUAUUUUUCCUUUAAAUUUUACCUUUUUUCUACCCACCCCUCCCCCCUUUAAUGAGAUGAUUUUGCCCCAUUGUGUCUGAUUAUUCUCUCAAACUUAUUUUAGAGUCUACAUUUUAAUGAAUAAACACUAAUCAUUUAC